CCAAGGUAUACAAGCUCUGAAUAUUGACCAUAAGCCAUGUUUUCUAAGAGUUCAUCUUUGUCCAUUCAAGGAAGGAUGUUUUGAAGAGGGUGCAGUUAUUUGUGUACCAUAUCCUUCUGACAUAUUUUUAUGGACUUCAAGUUCAGAGAGAAAUGAAGAGGGACUUCAAAUGUCUCAGUCGCUAUGCGAUUAUACUUCAAAGAACAUUCCUCUGGUAGAUGGGAAAUGCAGAUACCAGAUGAUUCAUUGCUAGCAAAUCUCACCGGUGGCCUAUUGGCUUUGUCACAACAGGAUCUGUUCAAGGAAGCAAGAGUCUUCUAGCUGAGGGCUUUUGCGAGGCUGUUUUACUAUCUCAUUUGAGAGAGGAACAGUGGAAGGAGAUGCCUAUGAAAAAGAGGAGAGAAAUAUAUGUACUUGUCAGGAAUUUGAGAUCUACAGCAUAUAGACUUGCUCUUGCCUCUAUCAUUCUUGAAUACAAGGAAAAUGACAUUGAGUUCUUGUAAAGUGUUUUU
This is a non-coding RNA of Vigna umbellata (rice bean), 512 nucleotides long. The record is from RefSeq and is a predicted model, not a curated record. NCBI's taxonomy places the organism in Eukaryota, Viridiplantae, Streptophyta, Magnoliopsida, Fabales, Fabaceae.